CAGGACACUACUCAAGAGAUGACAUUGUGUGCCAUGGAUAUUCAUCCUGCAAAGAGCUCCCAUCCUGCUGCCAUGUCUGAGAAACGGAUGGAAGAAGCUUUGUGUCUACAGGACACUACUCAAGAGAUGACAUUGUGUGCCAUGGAUAUUCAUUCUGCAAAGAGCUCCCAUCCUGCUGCCAUGUCUGAGAAACGGAUGGA
This is a long non-coding RNA of Epinephelus fuscoguttatus (brown-marbled grouper), 200 nucleotides long. RefSeq lists it as uncharacterized. The record is from RefSeq and is a predicted model, not a curated record. NCBI's taxonomy places the organism in Eukaryota, Metazoa, Chordata, Actinopteri, Perciformes, Serranidae. The transcript has 3 exons.